RNAcentral lists this ribosomal RNA (498 nucleotides) under Anelpistina yucatana. RNAcentral describes it as "Anelpistina sp. 2 LE-2013 partial 16S ribosomal RNA". It matches the Rfam family "Bacterial large subunit ribosomal RNA", at positions 1819 to 2600 of the family's 2925-position model. The record is from RNAcentral. Lineage: Eukaryota; Metazoa; Arthropoda; Insecta; Zygentoma; Nicoletiidae.
GGUCCCGCGUGGUAAGUGCGGGAUCUGGCCUGCCCUAUGAUUUAGGUAAGAUUAAAUGGCCGCAGUAUUUUGACUGUGCAAAGGUAGCAUAAUCAUUAGUUCCUUAAUUGGGAUCUGGCAUGAAGGGUUGGACAAGGGAAAAGCUGUCUAGAUGAUAAUAAAUUUGAAUUUUAUUUUUAAGUGAAAAGGCUUAAAUGAUCUUGGGGGACGAUAAGACCCUGUAGAGCUUUAUUUUUAUUUAUUAUGUGAUAAUAAUAAGUAAGGAUUUUGUUGGGGUGACGGGGAGAUAUAAUUAACUCUCUUUGUUGAGUUUUAUUUCUUGAUAUUAGGAGGAUCCACAAUUAGUGAUAUUAGGAUUAAGUUACCUCAGGGAUAACAGCGUAAUUUUUUCUGAGAGUUCUUAUCGAAGAGAAUGUUUGCGACCUCGAUGUUGGAUUAAGGAGUUUUGGUGGCGGAGGAGCUACUAUGGAGGGUCUGUUCGACCCUUAAAUCUUUACA